GACGAACGCUGGCGGCGUGCUUAACACAUGCAAGUCGAACGGAAAGGCCCUGCUUUUGUGGGGUGCUCGAGUGGCGAACGGGUGAGUAACACGUGAGUAACCUGCCCUUGACUUUGGGAUAACUUCAGGAAACUGGGGCUAAUACCGGAUAGGAGCUCCUUCUGCAUGGUGGGGGUUGGAAAGUUUCGGCGGUUGGGGAUGGACUCGCGGCUUGUCAGCUUGUUGGUGGGGUAGUGGCUUACCAAGGCUUUGACGGGUAGCCGGCCUGAGAGGGUGACCGGCCACAUUGGGACUGAGAUACGGCCCAGACUCCUACGGGAGGCAGCAGUGGGGAAUAUUGCACAAUGGGCGGAAGCCUGAUGCAGCAACGCCGCGUGCGGGAUGACGGCCUUCGGGUUGUAAACCGCUUUCGCCUGUGACGAAGCGUGAGUGACGGUAAUGGGUAAAGAAGCACCGGCUAACUACGUG
This 468-nucleotide ribosomal RNA is filed under the name uncultured bacterium. RNAcentral describes it as "partial 16S ribosomal RNA". It matches the Rfam family "Bacterial small subunit ribosomal RNA", at positions 28 to 507 of the family's 1533-position model. The record is from RNAcentral.